GCGGAGGAAAAGAAACCAACCGGGAUUGCCCUAGUAACGGCGAGUGAAGCGGCAACAGCUCAAAUUUGAAAUCUGGAGCCUUUGGCUUCCGAGUUGUAAUUUGCAGAGGGAGCCUCGGAGGGCGAGACGGUCCAAGUGCCUUGGAACAGGAUACCGCAGAGGGUGAGAGUCCCGUAUCCGGCCGAUCUUGCGCUCCGUGUGAGGCCCCUUCGACGAGUCGAGUUGUUUGGGAAUGCAGCUCCAAGCGGGUGGUAAAUUCCAUCUAAAGCUAAAUACUGGCCAGAGACCGAUAGCGAACAAGUAGAGUGAUCGAAAGAUGAAAAGCACUUUGAAAAGAGAGUCAAACAGUACGUGAAAUUGUUGAAAGGGAAGCGCAUGGGGGCAGAUUUGGACGCGGGGUUCAGCGUUUCGAUUUUGGAGCGUGUACUUCCCCGCGUGCAGGCCAGCAUCGGUUCCGGGGGCCGGACAAAGACGUUGGGAAUGUGGCUCCCCUCGGGGAGUGUUAUAGCCCGGCGUGCAAUGCGGCCACCUGGGACCGAGGACCGCGCC
Molecule: ribosomal RNA, 549 nt
Filed under: Scolecobasidium mirabile
Lineage: Eukaryota; Fungi; Ascomycota; Dothideomycetes; Venturiales; Sympoventuriaceae
Description: eukaryotic LSU rRNA
Rfam family: Eukaryotic large subunit ribosomal RNA
Source: RNAcentral